Nicotiana sylvestris (wood tobacco) is the source of this 96-nucleotide non-coding RNA. The record is from Rfam. NCBI's taxonomy places the organism in Eukaryota, Viridiplantae, Streptophyta, Magnoliopsida, Solanales, Solanaceae.
UGAAUAGAUUAUUGUAUUCGACUGUAUUCAUGGCGUGAAAUAGGGGAUUACACUGUUUUUAAACGAAAAGUGAAUCAAUUAACAUAAUAGACUCCU